CACUGGUUAGUAAGACAAUUUUGAAGCCUAACUUUUGUAUCCUCUUCUUGUUCCUUCUGUUGAGUUUCUACUUGUUCAAUGUUAAACAACUACUGUUGAAGCUUCUCAGUCGUACUUCCAUUCAACUCCUUCCCAGUGUGUUCCUCACUACCAUUGGCUAGUGUAAUUCAUUUCUUGGAGUCAUGUAUAGUUAGGCUGUAGUGUGUAGAAUUGUCUAGGUGUUGGAUAUCAGUCGCAUGUUUAUCCUUGUUCAUUUAAUCUUUUUGUACUCACAAAAUUGCAUAUAAAUUAUAAACCAAUAAUUACAUCUCUUAUAUGAAUGGCAUACGAAUCCCAGUCAUACUGAAUUGUCUCCAGUGAAAUGGCUAAAGACCUAUGUUGCGCUAAGUGGCUAAGGAACUGUAUUGGGCUUAUAGUGGAUAAGGAGCUGUCUCGGGCUCAACUGGCUAAGGCACUGCAUUGGGCUAAAUGUUUACCAGACUAACAAAUCAUCGACUAUUUUUUCUCUUGUUAUGAGUUACGACAUGUACCACUCUUUUCCAAAUGCACUUUCUCCCCUUUAGAAUUCAGAUUGUAUUUCUGUUUGUAGGGUCUUAUUUGGCACCCUUUUUUUUCCCAGAUAAACAGUUGCAAUAAGUUCGCAUGAGUACCUGUUCUAAAGUAAACAAAGCCACAGUGGAAUAGCUGGUAAAACGUAUUUUAACCUGUAAAAUUCUUCAGUCAUGACAUUGGGAUAGCAUCGCAUUGUGAGUUACGUCAUGGAAAGUUUGACUGGUGGUGUCUGCUUAUUGAAUACAACCACCACAAUAGCUUGUUCAGUUGAAUCUAGGUUUAUCCAUAUUUCAUUGAAUCCUUGAUCAAAGGAGUAGCCAAAGCUUUGCCUUGAUCUAACUUCAGAAAUCCUUUGAAUUUUCUGAUACAUUUAAAUGUUGCUUUAUUCAGAACUCCCAAGAUCCAACCAUUCAGAGGUCGGUGAGCGCAUCAUUUUCCUCCCAGCUUGUGAGUAAAGAAGGGGAGGUUGCUGGAAACCGCAAGCUCUGGGAAUUCGCAAGGAACUGAAGUUGAACCAUCACUUUCUGUCAAGAAUCAAGAUAAGUCUUAGUGGUGCUACCAAUUCCUUUUUUAAGGUUAGUGGCUUAGUGCGCAGUUGGUGGCCAACUUCAUGAGCGACAACUUAUUUUUGUCGAAAAUUGUAACUAGUAAUUUAACUGAUAAAUCGUAAUACCAAAAAAGUUACUGUCGUUUUUGGUCUCCAAGAAAUCCAGAUGUGGUGCUGGGUAAAUCUUUUCCUUUUUUCCCCUCGGCAAAAGCAAGUGAUACAAUCAAAAUUUAAUCUACCUUCUGAGCAAGAGACAUGAAAAGGGUUGCUCCAUAAAAUUUGGUUUCUGGUAGCUUGUCUUCAGGCAGCAAUUUGUUGUCAUAAUUUACACGCUAAAUUUGAAGCAUAUCAACUUGGUCGAGAUUCCUGUUUCUGCUAAUAUCCUUGGCGACUUCUCUUUAGAUAUCUGGAGAUAAGAUAAGGUGCUCGAGAAAGCAAGCAUGAAGAUUGGCCUACCGGGUUUGGCUUAUCCUUGCAAGUGGGGCUGUCUUUUUCAUUCUUGUUUGGAAUAGGAUUCGUAGGUCAUUAAUCCAUAGGAAAAGAAGAGUCCAAUUUAAAGUUGCUUCCAUUUGAUUGUUCUUUUUCUGUAUGACUUAUGACCAAAGUUAUAACAAUGAUAUGAUAUUGCACAUAUAAUAAAUGAUCUGAUACCGCAAAAACAUAUCCAGAGUGGAAGCUUUCUUGCAGAGGUUUCAAUAGGUAGGUAGUAUUUGAUCUGAUUGAAAUUGAGAGCUUUUGAGGUUCAUUGCUGCAAGUCUGCAAUUUUUCUCCAUUGGAAUUAGGAAAGCAUGAAGUCUUCAAAUCAUUGUGCAGUUGGGCACUUAGGAGGAUUCACGGUUCCUAAAAUCCUAGCAGCGUUUACCAGAUCAUAAGAAAUGAAAAGAUGGAAUUAGAAUUUGCACACAACUGAAUCAAAGGGAUGCUUCUUGCAAAGAAAACACGAAUUCAGACCAUGGAUGUGCUCUCUCAUGCCUAGGAUUAAAGCAUCCAACACAUCAAGAGGCCAAGAAAGAAGGAUCAUUUUACACAUAAAACCUAUGAUCAUAGCACAUACUGAGUUAUAUAGGUACAAGAUCCACAAGAUCACCAAGGUUUGCUAGAGCAAAGUUGGACAUGCAAAGCAGAAAGAUUUUUAUUUUUCCUUAUAGCUAUUCACAGGCUCUCCUUACAAACUUUCUGGAAAACAAGUUCAUGGCUACAAAGUUUUCAGAUCUCCCCCAUCGAUGAACUUCUCAAGAGCUCAGUCUCCCCCAAGAUUGAAAACAUGAACUACAUACCUUCUUUUUUGCACAUCAUACCCAUAUAUAGAGCCAUAUCUACCUAGUUAGCCCCCUUCAUGAGUUCAUUCAUGUUCAUGGUGCAAACUCCAUAGUUUACAUGACAAGCUCCAGUUAUCUUUUGGUUCAGUUCUUUGCAGAUCUGCCCAAGACACGGCCAUGCAAAAGCACAGCCAUGUUCUUGUUUGCAGAUCCUUGUUCUUUUUUUAUGUGUGACCCCAGGGAGCCAAGAACAUGACUCUCCUUAUGGGAUCCUCGGCGGCCGAGCCGCGGCAGUCGGCGCCACGGCUCUGGCCAGCGGCAGCGGCGGCGGACGUGCGGCCUUCGCCGGCCGGCCUCGGCGCCGGCGCGGCGUUGGUGCUGCAGGAGCGCCGCAGUUUGUCACGGAGGGCCUGUUUGACCUCGUGAGCCCAGGAGCCCUCCCCUGCAGGCAGCUGAGGGGGUUUCACGGGCAUGGCUGCCUUGCCAAAAAGACCAAGAAAUCCUAACACUGAAGACUCACUAGACUGGCCAACCGAAGAGUGUUUGCAGAGCAGAGAAAUGGUAGUAGAUUCAUCAGAGGUUUCGCGAUGGGGGCCUAUUUAUAGGCGAGAGGAGAAGCCCGUGAGGGAGAGAAAAGGGAAUUCCACUUUUUCUUUUUUCCCACUUGCGCGCUGGCGGAAUCGGGUUCCAAAAGGGAACCCGAUUAGUGUUGUCAAUUCUGGGUGGGUUCUGGUUGUCAUUAUCAUGGUGUUGAUUAAAAACAGUGGUGAUCAAAUGGCCUUUGGUAACAAGCUGCUGUUUAUGACAUAACAAUAGGGAAAAAUGAUACUGGAAGAGUUCAAGUCGCACUGCUCCGGUCUGAUUUAACUAGGCGUUUUGGAUGAUUCGAUUUCAAAUGGCGUCAGUAGAAUCUUAACUGCUCCGUUGAGCCAUUCCUGUGUUUUGGGACUUGAAGGAUUCAAAGCUGGACGCACAGAUGAUCUGUUCUGCGCGUUAACAUCUCGCUUUUUACUCUAUUUUUUCCCUGACACUCAUUGUCUCCGACAAGCACAUUUGACCAUUGCCUUUCAUAAUUGCUUGUUUUUUGGGGUAAAAACUGGAUACAUACUUGAUGAUGUGAACGGCAAAUCUCUUAGCACCAUUCUAUCCGCAGUGUCCUUGUAAUUUUUUGUGUAUUUCUGGUCAAAAUUUUCAAUGCGUACCUAGACGUGAGCUAAUUAAUUAGCUUAAGAUAAACGGAUGGAGUAUCUGUUUGAUCUUGAGAAUUGAGUAAGACUAAACAUAAAGCUUAUGAGCCCUAAUUUUUCUGCAAGAAUCCACUGACAACAUAUUCCUCAAGAUUUUCCACUACGUAUUGCUGGAUGAAAAGAAUGGGAUGAAACCAGCCAUGGAUUCCAUUUGCGAUGCCCCUCUUUUGUAUCUAGUGGCACACUUUUUUUUUUGUUGAAAGAAAGGGGCUCUUGAUUCCUAGGGUUAUUCGGCCGCCAUGUUGCCUUGUCGAGGCCGGCGAGAAUGAUGGCGCCGGAGGACAGGCUGAGCAGGCGAGGUGGGGGCGGAAUUAUUGACGCCCAGCCGUGGUGUCCACCAUGCAGGUGGCCAGCUGGCGCGUGACGCCCGCACAGCGCAACAGCCUAGUGCUAGUGGUGGUGCCCGUCGCCGCCGCGGGCCCCACCCUAUGACUAGGCCUCCCGUUCUUUUGCGCCCCGCGGGCCCCGCCAACCAAUCACUCUCUCGCUCGUAUCGCUUCGCUUGUCUCGCUCGUAUCGACAGGACAGGCCGACAGGGUGCUGUGCUUCCUUAAAAACAGAUUAAAAAAAAUAAAAAUAGUUUCUGAAAGAAAUGAAAAUACGAAGAACUGUGACAGGUGCAGCCCAACUGUUCGUGCCUAGCCAGGUUAUCUUUGCCGUGGUGGUUCGUUUGGAAGGGUGUGUACCUACCGGACCAAUCGCGGUUAAGAGGUGAGUGAGCUAUCACCUUCACUGCCUUCCAUUGGCCACGAAAGCAAACGCUAAAGUGUAGCUUAAGCUGGUGAGGGUAGGAUAGGGAGUCGUGACACGAGAGUAAACUCGAUCACAGAUAUUUUGGAUAAAAUUCCGAUCACAAAUAUAGAACAAUAGUGAGUGAGCCUAGGUUAGUCUGCUUUCGGCCUUUUGGAUUAACCAAUCUAACCCACGAAGCCCACGAACUGGAUGUGCAGGCCCAGUAUUUCUUUCGCAUUGAUCAACUUGCAUCUCAAACGAUUUUUUCCGUAUGAGUUCGCAUUGGUUGGCCCCCGACCAGUAUCCUCGAGAAAAGAAAACGUAUCCUGCUCGGAGUUGCAAUUGUGCCCCCUUGCCAUAUUGAUCUUCCGUAUAUGUACGCACACGAGGUUCGAAACCGAGCGUCCCGUCCGGCGUAAACCGAUGCCGCCGCGCAAACGCUGCAGAACAUGCGCUGCGCGGCGCGCGGCCGCGACGACUCCGGAGCUUCCGGCGAACCUCCUGCUUGAGAUCGCCGCGCGCUCCGAUGCCGCCACCAUCUUCCGGUGCGCCGCCACAUGCAAGCUGCUCCGGCGCGAGAUCCUGAGCCCGGACUUCAUCCACCGUGUCACCGGAGGCCCCGACGCCGCCGCCGUGCCCUCCCACGUCCUGGGUGUAGUCGGGGGAGAGCGAGGCCUCUUUCUCCCUCGUGCAUCCGGUGACGGUGGCCACACUGACCUUCGCGAGGCGCCACCUGGCGCCCUUCGUGUCGCGCGCCGCCGCUGGGCUCCUCGAGCAGUACGUGCCCCUGACGUCGCGCCGCGACAUCAACUGGCGGCGGAGGUCAGAGCGCAGCCGGUCGGACUUGUGCGUGUACGACCCCAUGACUGACAACCGGGCCUUCUUCCCCGUCCCGCCGGACAUCGGACGGGACCCCUACCACGGGCUACUCGGCUACCACGGACAUCGUCGACGAGCUCGUAGUGACCAUAUGGGUGCUGUCAGGAGGAGGCUCCUGGGAGCGGCACUGGGAGGUAGACAUGGAGGCGGAGUGGUAUUUCGAGCCGUGGGAGCAGCGUGGGUUCGAAUUGUUCAGCUUCGGCGAUCAGAGGAGCGGCGUAGUGUUCUUGCGACUUGAUGGUGAUGGUCUGGGCGUGCUCUGUGGGGUCGACGUGCUCUUGUGGAGACGAAAACCACGUUUUUACGAGUUUUUUAUGAAAAGACGGGCAUACCAUGCGAGGUGGACCUCGCUUCUCGGCUAUCCUCCAUGAAAGCCUACUAGUACUAGCUAGCUUCUUUUCGAUCAAAUAACGGCUAGGCCACGGAAUCGAAUCACCAUAUGUGACCCAAUGCAAUCCAAGUAUACAGCAAUUAUGGAUGUAAAAAGAUACUAAGGCUAACGCCAAUUUAAGUUUUAUUUUUAUUAAAUGUGACGGUAUCUUUAUAUUGGCAAGGUAAGAGAGAUGGAAGUAGUUUUAUCUCCAUGAGGCAUACAUUGCUUUCGAAGACUAUGAAACUGGAAUUGGAGUUCAGAGGGUUUCCUUCGUCCGAUCAUGUGCAUUGCAAUUUGAUGCUAUUGCUAGCAAAUGAAACCGUGAAAUAAAAAUGUGCAUAGGAUGCUUAGUUUCAUUAUUUCAUCAACCCAAACUUAUUUAGAUGACAUGGCAUUUACCUGGAAUAAAACUCACUAUUGGGAAUGAUCUAAUUAGAAACAAAUGUGAUGGGCUCCCUAAAUUUUUGAACUCAAUUUUGCAUAUUUCAUUCUCACAUUGCGAAAUCCCUCCCGAUCUUUCGAUCAGUGGAGUCCACCUCGAAUUCGUGAGUCAAAGGUGUGGCAAGAGAGCGAGUUCGACUCGCAGACGAUCCGCAAGUGAAGGACCGAUCCUUUAACAUGAGUACUUUUGCGAGACUGGUAAGUGGAAUGUGAAAGCAUCUAGGCCUCUAAGUUGAAUUUUGGUAAUUAAUGACAACAUUUGUGGACUAAUAAUUUCAUUAGAGAUAUGAGUAUAGGUUAGUCCCAGGGAUGAAAUGAGUUUCAAAGGAUGCUAUGGUGAUAGCUUGGAUGGUUUCACAUAGGAAAGCUCAAGGCAAAUGUAUACGAUUGGGCUUUUCUAUUUUACCGGUCAAGAGGUGAUUAGUGGAUGGUAAUUGAUCGAAUUCAUAGGCUAGAUAGCCGUACUAUCAAGAGGGAUCAAUUUCAUUUGCUUAACGAUUCUAUAGUGCCACUUUGCCCAAACAAUUGCAUUGCAUGCAUAUAGGUUUAUCUCGUUUGGAAAGUGGAUAGAACUAUGGUAAAAUGAUUUUUAGAAAAUAGCUAACGCACAUGUAUGGCGAACGAUCUCCCUUAUUUGUGGCGGACCGUUCUAUGACUUAGCCAUUUUUGAGCCCAUGGUGAGCUGAAAUUGUUGAACGGUGAACGGUCCGGCUGUGGGAGGCGGACGGUCUGCCGACUAACUGUAAAAGUCAGACAGAACAUGUUUUCAUUCUGGUGAGGUGCGAAGUUGAAAGGUGGACGGUCCAGCCAAGGACUCCGGACGGUCCGCCACUUAUUCACAUUUUUUGGACAGAACAAUUCUUGGUUCCGUGUGGAGCAUGGACGUGAAUGGUGGACAGUCCGCGCCCAAGGGGCGGACGGUCCGCUAGCUAAUUUGAAGAGUUGGACAGAACAUUUUCGUUUAUGGUGGAUGGGCGAAAAUGGAAGGCGGACGGUCCGCCUCACUAACUUUGAAACUCAACGUGUUCUGGACAUGUCUAGCUGCGUGCUGCAUGUUUGGAAAUUUGAACUGCGGACGGUCCGCGCCUGGAUGGACGGUUCACUUGUGCUGCAACGGUCAUCUCUGCCACGCAUUUAUUGCGGUUGUAGCUGUUGGAAUGAACGGCGGACGGUUCGCGCUCAUAAAGGCGGACGGUCCGCGAAUCCCCUGUUUGUGCGCGUUUUAAACAUAACGGUUAGUUUUGGGGGAAGACUCUAUAAAUAGCUCAUACCCGAGCGUGGGAGAGCUCUCUUGGCACUUUGGAAAGCAUUCUUGACACAUUUGAGACUUCUUCCUCCUCUCUUUCACUCACUUUGCUUAGAGGUUGCAUUCUUGUGAGAUUGAGAGUAUCCUAAUGCAUUGCAUCAAGAGUUUGAGUUUUGUAGCACUAGAGAGUCUUCAAGCAAGCGUCAUUGGCUUGUUACUCUUGGAGGUUGCCACCUCCUAGACGGCUUGGAGGCUGUGGAGUCGUUGAGCCCUUCAAGAAGACUGCGAAGGAGCCCCGGCUAUUCUUGUGAGAGGUUUUUAUGCUCACCUCGCCGGAGCGGUGAAGGGCAACUCUAGUGGAAUCAUGGUCUGGAGAGGUUUUUUUUAUUCUAGUCAGCUGUCUUGAUAGAGGAAUGGUUGGAACAUUGAAUCCAUCUCAACGUGGAUUAGGGGUGACCGGCAAGUCAUCGACAUCACGUAGAAAAAAUUCAUCUUUUGUCUUCGGUUAUUUGUUUGCUCAAUUUUCUUAUUGCAAUUUACUUUGAGCAAUUACAUACUAGAGAUUGAAUUAUAUCUUAUCACCCUAGGUUGCAACCCUCACCUAGUUUUAGAAAGAGUAGAAAUAGAAUUUCUUUUAUAUUACUAAUUAAAUUUAUUUAGUGUUGUGAUUUCCCCCCUCUAGUCGGUAUCCUAGAUUCUGCGGAAUGUGAAGCACACCAAUGUUGAGUAGGCAAUUAGCAAGGAGAAGAAACACUUCUUGAUGGUUGAUUGGUUGGGUGGCCAGUCCCCGCAACCAGGCUUCCUUACGAUACUUUUGCAAGUCCUAUCGCCACCUCUCGACAAUUUGUCGAAGUGUAAGUUUCCUCCGUUUUAAUCAUAACGCCGGGUAGGGACCCUUCAUCAGGUUGCUUGACCGCCUCAACUCGAAUUUAGGCUAGUUUGUAGGGAAAAUGGUACAUAUACCGCUGCACACAAGACCAUUUUGAAGGCAUUUUUAAUAUAGUAAAAUUCUAGAAAAUUUUUGCCAGGAAUGAAUCCAUCUAACUCUUGCUCUCAGCAAUUUGGAUGUAAAAUUUAAUAAACAAUGCUAAUAGUACGUAAAUGUCUAGGCAUAAUACUACCGCCGUCCAUAAACCUAUGAUGCUAGGACAAACUAGUUAGUUCAAAUUUAGUUUGUCCUAACUUUAUAUAUUUAUGGAUGGAGGGAGUAUUUUCAUUAACUACUAAUAAUAAAUGUAAAUCGGUAUAUAGUAAUAAUAAAUAUUAAAAAUUUCAACUGACUUUUUCCAUUGGAUUAGCCAAUUUAACUCGGGAGGUCACGAAUAAGAGAGCAUUGGAUGUACGACACGAUCCAGCCCAUAGGGAACAAAAGUAGGCCAGCCCAGUAUUUCUUGCCUCGUGGGCUUAGCCAAAUGCUGGGCUUUGUGAUAAGCACUAAGACGUGGGCACACGUGCUGCUGCUCCAACGACCCAUCCAAUUCCGUGACGUCUCUCCCACUCUUCCUCGCUUCCUACUGCCUCUCCAGAGCAGAGCCCUCCCGUUUCAGCUCACUUCCGAAUUUUUUUACAAAGGAUUCAGAGAGGGAGGGAGGGAGGGGCAUGGCGGCGAUGGUGGCGGGUGCGCUGCGGAGGGGAAGCGGAUACGGCAGUGGUGGCUUCCGCUGCAGCUUGCGUCUCCUCGCUCAGUCGCUUCGCAGAUUCGUGAGCGCCCUUCCUCCUCGCAUUCAGUUCACCUCACCCCGCUCGACCGGGAGGAUUGUGUUGUUGUUCCCCGAGACCUUAGAUGCGUUCGCGCCGCACUAAUCACUUGCCCCGCUCCGUUUAUCGAUGGUGUCGGAAUCGAAUCCCUGGCGAUAGUUUUAGCGGCGGAUAAAGCAACCUGGAUAAGAUUGCGAGCCCGAGUUCACUAGUUCAGGCCUUCGAUUUUGCUCUCCACAGUUUAGUGCUUAUUAACGCGUGUGUGUCUGUGUCGAUCUAGGCGAGCACGCUGGUCGUAGCGGAGCACGAAGGUGGGUUCGUGAAACCGUCGUCCCUGAGCGCAUUGGCCGCUGCGGAGGCAAUUGCAAAAGAGAACAAAAUUUCUGUUCUGUUGGGUGGAUCCGGACCUGCGCUUCACAAGGCUGCCGAUCACGCUGCGUCCAGUCAUCCACUGGUUUCUGAGGUAUUGUGCUGCUGUAAUGCUGUUCUCAAAUUAUGUCCAGUCUAGUAAUCAUGUAUUGGUGCCAAUUUUAUCCCUUCAACAACUCCCAAGGAUCAGGUGAAAACUAGAAGAGAAAUAGAAGCAUUGUUCUGCGGGCUCCUCUGCUUAUCAAUUGGUUUCUAGCACUGCAGGUGCUGCUUGCCGAUUCAGAAGCCUUGGCACAUCCUUUGGCUGAACCAUGGGCCGAGCUACUCCACUCUGUUCAGCAGAAAGGAGGCUACUCUCAUGUUAUAGCUUCAUCGACGUCCUUUGGGAAGAAUUUGCUUCCACGUGCUGCAGCUCUUCUUGAUGUAUCCCCUGUUACUGAUGUCACUGCAAUAAAGGAGCCACGAAUCUUUGUGAGGUUUGAUACUCUGCUGUUUACUAUGUUUUUUUAGCAUUUUAUUCAGAAUGUGGGAGUGGCAUGGUAAAACAAUAUUUGUCCCCCCAGUAUGCUGGUUAAGGUUUUAAUUUCAUGUAUACAUGUGGUUUUGGAAUUUGGAUCGGUCCAUUUUAUGUGUUUUAGUGUACUUGGCCCCAUUUUCAUGUACUGGAAAACAGUCCGUACAUCUCAAUUCAUAACUCCUAUUUGUGUGCUCAUCUGCCGUCCCCAGAUCAGGUACUGCAACUGCCAAUAUUAACAGUGGAAAAAUUAUCAAAUGCUCCCUUCUUGAUAGUUCACCAAAUCUAAAGUUAUAGCUCGCGAUAUGUGGCACUGUCUUGCUCAUUAUCAACCUGCUUUGACACAUUUUAUGCUAAUUUUGUAUUAGUUCAUGGGUGUAAAAAACGCAUGAGCCUAAAGAGAGAAGUCAUAUAUGGUCACAUUCAGUCAUUCACAUGAGUCCACAGCUGCCUUUUGUGAUGUUUCGUUUUGUUGGGGUUUCAUGCUGUCGCAUAGAGCCCCAUGUUAUAUGACAUUCACUGUUCCAUGCUUUAGUUAAUGUGUGCUUCUGACUCCAGGCCAAUUUAUGCUGGUAAUGCACUCUGUACUGUGAAAUAUACUGGAGAGGAUCCUUGCAUGAUGAGUGUUAGAUCAACUUCGUUUUCUCCAAAUACUGAGGCUAUGUCUGAAACAAAGGUUGCACCUAUCACCCAGGUUGAUCUCUCUUUCCUCAGUGAAGGUUUGUUUGUUUCCUUCACCAUAUUCUUCUGUUAACAAAUCAGCAAUCCUUCAGAAUUAUUUUAUUCAUUUUGUGUUGCUCUAGUAAUGUUCCGACUCAUGCAACUAAACUCUGGGAGUAAAGGAUCAAUAUAUUAAUUUUCCUUUUCACGUUCUUAAUUUUUAUAAAGCUGAAGCAGUCUGCAGGGGAAAAAACACUUCUCAUUUGAUUGCGUAGUAUUCGGACAGUUUACUGAUAUAAAAUUUUGGCACAUAACUAAUAGCACCUUCUCUUUGAUGUAUAUGUAACAUAGGGAAAUCUAAAUGGGUGAAUCUGACAUCCCAAGACACAGAGCGACCUGAUCUUGCAAAUGCCCGUGCAGUAGUCACUGGAGGCAGAGGUUUAAAAAGUGCUGAAAAUUUUAAAUUAUUGGAGCAGCUUGCUGAGAAACUUGGUGCAGCAGGUUUGAGCUUCUAUCUGAAUUUUUUCCUUACUUUUGUCCAUAAAUUAUUUUUCUUGGUGGCACUGAAAUGAUUAGUGUUGAUACUUUACCAAGGCCUCAUGCAAAAUUCAUUCCCCUGCAGACUGUAACUUUCUAACUAUUACUUUUCUUUUCUGUAGUGGGUGCUACUAGGGCUGCUGUUGAUGCAGGUUAUGUUCCAAACGACCUUCAGGUAAGCACCGCAAGUCUAUCAUGUGCAAAACUGCACCAUAGGAAAUUACUAAAUGUGUUCUGAAUCAUCCAGCUAAUAUAUAGUUGUAAAUUCUAUUAUGAGCUAGUGGUGUUAUCACCAUGAUCAACAUCCUGUCAGUUCUCUAGAUCAUUGGUGCCUUCUUUUAUGAACAACCAUCUAAUUCAUUGCUGGCUUUCUUGUUGCCAGGUUGGUCAGACAGGGAAAAUUGUUGCACCAGAGCUCUACAUGGCUUUUGGAGUUUCUGGAGCAAUACAGCACUUGGCGGGAAUGAGAGAUUCAAAGGUUAUUGUGGCCGUUAAUAAAGAUGCUGAUGCCCCCAUAUUUCAGGUUCCUUCUCGCAUUUAAUAAAUAUACACAUCGUGCACUUGUAUAAAUUGCUAAAAGUUCUAAAAAUUCUAAGCCAACUGCAUUGGCGUUGUCCAGGUUGCAGAUUAUGGGCUAGUUGCGGAUCUAUUCGAGGUUCUCGACGAAUUGUUGAAGAAGAUCCCAGACAAGAAGUGAGUGGAUGCCGUCAUGAUAGUGCCCAUCUCUCAUUUUCCCAUAAGUUCAUAAUAAGAUGAAAUUAUCUCAUGAUGUGAAUACUGCAUCUGGAAUAAUGUAUGUUAUUAUGGUCAAGGGACCUGUUCUUACUCAUUUCGUAGUAAACAAAUAGGCUGCUAGCGGUAGCGUUUUCACCAUCAAACCAGAGUGCAGAUUAAAUAAGCGAUAAUUUAGACGUGGAUAUUUGCAGUUCGUACAUCAAGGCAAGGUACAACAGUUACAUAGAAACAAGUGAACAUGGACGCAGGAACAGUGUCAGCAUCGAACAAGCGAACAGCUGAGCGAAACGAAUAAUCUUAUAUUCAACCACAACGUCAAAAGAAUGACCAUACAUGAUGUGUACAAUGUUUAAACCUACUGAUACAUUCGAAUGAUUUCGAUACGCCAAAACAGAGAACGAAACUAAUGAUUUUCUUAUUCUUCUGUGAUCAAAAUGAACACGAAUCCCAGAAACGAGGAUAAAAACUGUAAAAGAAUAUCAACGGUAUAUAAAUGUUACAAGUAUAAUAUAUGAAUCACGGCCUGUAUGAACUGAAGUACUGCCCUCAUCACGAUUCAGAUUUAUCAUCAGGAGGGGUUCCAACGAGCCAACCCCACAUGCCGCCAGAACUUUGCCGCUGCUUUGCGUCCAGCGCUGCUUGCUCUGACGCGGCUCUCUGUCGUCGAAGCAGCUCAACCUCCUUUUCCAAUGCGUCCAUACUUUGAAGCUUCUGUCGUAGUUCCGCAACAUCGACCUAGUGGGCAUUCCAGAAAUUAGGUAUGAUCAGAGCAUUGUAUUUAUAUGUUCUGCUAAUGGUUAUGAUAAUCGAUAGUUUAACUCAUUUGAUUACAACAAGAAGCCAAUGUGUACCUCAAGUUUGAAACAUCUUGACUGCUCAGCAGCAAGUUGGCCACGGACAGCUUGAAGUUCCUACACAAUUUAAAUGAGAAAAAGUAAGGGCCCUAAAACCAGCUUAGGUAAAAUGGUUUUAGGAAAAAUUUACGCAGCACUGGUUCAACUUAGGGUGCGUUUGGCAGCUGAUUCUCUAUUGAUUCCAGUAGGAGCUCUGCCAAACACUUUUUCAGGAGCUCUGCCAAACACUUUUUCAGAGAGAAGUGAUCCUCCACUGAUUCUGUGAAGUGAUUCUUUGAAAUGAACUAAGAGGCUGGGAGCUGAAAAAAGUAGCGUCUCCUGAUUCUGUGAACUGAUUCUCCAUCCUGAUUUUAAGAGUUUAUGCUAAAGAAUCAAAGAGAAUCACUUUCAGCCACAGAAUCUCUUCUCUCAGAGAAUCAGCUCCCAUAGAGAAUCAAAAUCAGAUGGAGCUCUACCAAACAGACCCUUACUUUCCUUGGAUAUAAAACUAAAACGACAAGUAAAAGCACAAAAGUACAGUUUGUCUUACACAACUUAUCCUAAUUUUAACUUAGAAGUCACUUUGCUCCAGUUUUGUUGAAUAUGUCAUGAUAAAAUAUUAUAAAACUAUGCAUAAUGUAGCAAUGAAUUAGACUCAUACAAUAUUCAAUACAGCAAAAGCUUUUUCCCCUCGAAAGUGUAUGCCUAUAUAUUUAGUAAAAAUGUAGUUCAAAGGCAGAAUCAAAACUUAUAAGUAGUUCCUAAAAGAAUAUAAUAGUAUUACAUGAGAUGCGUAGUAACUGUUCAAGAGGAGGUUCAUUAGAUGCUUGAAAGAAUAUGCACUAUUAACCUACGACAUAGAAGAAAGAGCACUUGCCUUUGUGAGCUCCACAUUUCUGGACUCUGCUUGAGCAAUGUCUUCUUUAAGUUGUACAGUUUGCAGCUGUUCCCUGUUAAGUGUCGCUUCUAGUUCAUCUUUCUCAGCUUUGAGAGCUGCCAAAAGCUGUUCACUUGCUUCAUCAGUACUGUUUUUCUGGAACUCAGCAGAGAUAAAAGAAAGGAAGUGUGAGUAUCCUCAAUAACUCAAAUCAUAAUUGGUACAGCAACCACCAUAAAGAAUUUUGUACAAGACACAAUCUAUGUAACGAGUGCCAGAACCACAAUUGCACUGUGUAGUUUGCAGAAUUUCAACUAGUAUGAAUCCUAAUUUCUACAAUACACAUUCAGGAAGUCAAAGUGGCUAGGCCAAAACAGGAAGCACCAUUCAGUUCUAGCUAAUAGCCUAACAGCGGAAAAUAUCUGGAGCAGGACAUUACCAGGUCUGAAUCAGCACUGUCCAUGGCAAUCUCUCGUAUCUUCCCAUCCUGGGAAGUUUCAACCUCUGGUUCCGCAACCCUAGAUGUAGUAUCUGAGACAGUUUCUUCUUUUGUGGUUGACUUGGAAUCUGAUUUGAGGCUAAGUUUAAGAGUAUAAACCUGUUCAUCAUAUGGAAAAAGUGUUGGUCAAAGGUAGUUUCACAUAUUGUUCAUUGUAUCAUACGCAAGUGAUAGCUUGUAGCAUUGACUGAAAAUGUCAAUUACCUCAUUGCUGUAUCGUCCAUUGUAUCCUCCAAAUGAGAUGAGAUAAUCAUAUCCAUUGUAACUGCUAUGCACUAGAGUCAUGCCCUAGAUAACAACAAAUUAAAAUAUUAGCAGCCAGGUAAAAAUAAUCCUGACCACCAAAUACUGCUCAAGAGAUAUACCUCACUGGCAAGGGGAACCCGUCCUUCCACAGUGCUAACAACUGACCAUGUCAGAGUUGACAUGUUAAGAACGAGAGUCUCAGAGACACCUGUGGAGAAUAGUAGAGCUAAGUAUUCACUUAAUAGCAUCAAAAUGAAAAGAACAGGUUUAAGGGCCUUGGUUAGGGUAUGUUGGGAUCGUAUGGAAUCCCAGAACAUCCAAAAUGAGGUCUGAUUGGAGAAAAUUCCAUCAGAGGCAAAAAGCCACUAGUAACAUGAGUAUAAAAAAUGAACCCCAUAAAUAAACGCCAUAAUGAUCACAUCGCAGUUAUCAAGAAGCAUCUUGACAUCCUAAGUUAGGAAAUCAAAUACUUACCACUUUUAUUAUUGCCACCCCCAACUAUGUACCAGUUCUCCCCGACAGUUGCACCAGCAUGGCCAGCUCGUGGGCUUGGCGUCAGGCCUUGUUGUUUGGGCCUUGACCACUCCAUCUGUAGUUCCAAAAAAAAAGCAGUCAAAGAUAGCACACAAACCUUUACAGAUGCCCAGCAAGAUUAAAUUUGUACCGUCUGCAAAUCAAGGACAUGUAGGUCGUUGAAACAUGUUGCAUGAGACCCCCCACCAAAAAUUAAAAGAUAGCGGUCAGUAUGGCAAGCAGCAGCAUGAUCCGAUCUUGGAGAAGGAGGGGUGCCUCUAAAACACAAAGCCAACACCACAGUGAGCUGAAUUCAAAAUACAGUAACACAACAGUUGGCUUCAAAAAAGACCAUUGCCUUGUGAUUCAGAACAUGCGCAUGAUGACCUAGAGAGAUUAUUCCACAAUCCAUAUAUACAUGUUACUAAAAUACAGCUUUGAUCAUUUUUUUACAUUGGGGGGGAGGGGGUGUGCAUUACACCUUCAUAAUGAAAGUGUAAAUACAAGAUAACUUUACCUAACUACGAAAAAUAUGUUUUAAGGUCUUGAUGCAAUCUAUAUUCAUUAUUCCCUUUUAUAUUAGUAAAAGCUAAUGCUCGAUAGCGUGAAAGUUACCAUGCAUACCAAUUAUGUUUGGGGCACCAGUGCGCCCACCAAAAUCUAGGAGCUUUUUUUUAAUAAAAAAAGUUAAGCUCACAUAGCAAAGAUCAAUGCAACAAAUUAUGCCUUCUUCUUCUCAUUAGGUAAAUUGUGCAUUAAGAAUCAAGAUUUUUGUACUUACAUUGCAUCCACAUCAUCCCAUGUCAUGGUUUCAAGAUCAAGAAUGUGUAAGUCAUUCAAGAGGCACCGUUUUGCAUCUUCACCACCGAACAAAACUAGAGUUGUUCCAACAAGAGUCACCGUCUGACCUCCACGAGAAACCUACAGCAGAUGAAACUUACAUAAGCAAUCUACGUUCCUGGGUAUAUAACUGGAUACUCAAUACCAAAACAACUAAGCAUUGCUAUUAUGUAGAUUUUUCAUCAAUCGCUUCACAACACAGACUUUAAGUUUAAAUCAAGCACAGAACAGUGUAAGAAACCACCUGAGCAAAGCACAUAAAAAAUCUACAUGCUCAAAUGUAAGAACAGUGGAUUGAAGAAAAAUUAUUACCGGUGAUUUUCCAUAAGUCCUGACAAUAGACCAGGUACAAGUAUGCGGAUCAAAUUCCUUCACUACAAUAAAAGCACCAGAAGUGAAGUGACAACAUCAGAAAAACAAAUUAAUGCAAUGGGACUUAAUUAGUGAGUAGUAUCAAAAUAGAUUAAAGCUGAGCAAACCUGUAAUGCCUUCAGAUGGAUCUUUGGUAUGCCCGGCAAUAGAGAAAAAUUUGUGGCCCCAUGUUAUCUACAAAAUGGUACAGAACAAGAGGCAACCUCCAUCAGCUACAGUUUUAAAGAUAUCUGACUUUGCAACAGUUCAACUAGUUGUGCAGAAGCGUACCAAUGAAUGGCCAGCACAGGGAGCAAUUUGUGAGGUUUUUGCUGAAUCAGAAGAUUCUGCUUGCAAUUUGGCAUCAAUCUUUGACCAAGUCAAACUCUUCAGAUCCAAAGCCUAUUUUGUCAUAAUUGUGAAAAGAGGCAUCUGUUAAACCAGUGGCUUAAUGUUUAGCUGCUUUCAGAUGACAUUUUUUACUAGGGAAAUUCUACCUAGCUUGGUAUUUUCUAUGCAGGAAAUAUCAGAAAACUUAAAGGUUUUCGCACAAUAUUUUUUAGGGAAAUAGCUUUUAGUUUGUGAUCUCCUUGCACAGUGAUAAUACCCAAUUUGAAAAUGACAUAUUAUCCCAGAAAGUUUGGCAUAAGGAAGCACACGGAAGACUCACAUAGUUGCAAGAAAAACAUGCUUUCACAUCACACCGAUUCACAAAAGGUCAAGUUUAGGAACCAUGAACAGAAAUGGACAAUGAAUCCAGAGAGUAUUAAAUCAGAUGCACUACUUAAGGAUGAUUUGAUCAAAAGCAGUAAAACAGCAUAUGCUACACAGUGUCAUGCUUAAAAUCCAUAGCUGAUAACUUAGGAUGCAUAGAUAUAGCCUUGUAGGUUGUUUUAUUCAGUUGCAUGUACCUGAAGGUCACUAAGGUAACGCCCGUUAUGGUUUCCACCAAAUAUAUACAUCUUAUCUUGCAAUACAGUUGCUCCAUGCUACAACAACCAAAAUUCUUAUUAGUAAAAUAAAAGUAAUAGAAAAAAAAUAAAAGUAUUAAAUGAAGGAAGAGGAAAUUGAUGUAUCUGGCACACCUCAUAACGAGGUUUCGGAUGAUGACCACUGAUAGAUAAUGGUGUCCAUUCGUCAAGAGAACUAACAGUACUAAGGCCUUCCAGAAUAACAUCUUUGUCCUGUGUUUCCACAGAACUUCCAUUUUCAGAAAUGAUUUUAGGUUCUGAAAUUGAUGUUCCAUUUGUUGAAGCUGGUACAAUCUGUGGCUCUUCUUUUGGCUUCUAACAAAAUUAAAAAAAAUGGAUAACUUACUAAAUCUGUUCAGAGCUAAACAUUAAACAAUAGAAUCAAAGAUCAACAUAAAUUCUGAAUAUUCAGAAAAGGAAGCAACCAGUAGUCAAUAGUGUGACUUACAUGCAUUUGAAUAUCUACAACGGGCUCAGAGUUGAACUCAGGGACCCUAGAGUACCAUCCAGGAUCUUCCUCCUGCCACGAUAUCAAUACAUCUAUCAGAUCAAUUUGCAUAGCUGCACACCAAACAAUGUCAUGUAAUCACUCAUACCUCCAAGAUUUUGACAAAAAGACGCAUCGCCUCAGCCGACGGCAUGCUUCCAAGCCCAUGCCAACUGAAAACACAAAUCAUAUAAGAAAUGCGUAUUGUUUUCAGGACAUGCAAAUGCAACUCAAUAAUAAAUGAUAUUUCCCACUCCAGCUAUCCAGGUUGGGCCUUCCAUAACCUAAAUUACAUGAAUACUGCGGUUAUUGCAGCAUAGGCAUCUCAUUUGCUAACUUAAGGCCAGGAGCAAAUUCCCAUUCCAAAGUCUGGGUUAUGCAAUAAACAUAAGCUGACAUGAGAAUGAACUAUGCAAUUGUCUCUGCUGAUGUCUAGUACCCUAGUCACGUUCCAAGUUACAAGUAAAUGACUAUGCGUUCCAUAUCCAUUGAUAAAGCAGAUGUUGGCUUCUACCCUGACAACGGGAAGCAGGAUUUGCGUGCAGUUUCCAGUAGAACUAACCUGGUCCAUUUGCUCUGCUCCACGGGGUUCCACGCCCUUGGCUUGGGCACAUUGCAUGGACCAACUGUGGCCUGGACGAAACAAAACCCAAAAUCACCAACCGAAUUGCGAUCACCAAAGCAAAUAGACGGGGACGAGCAAACUAACGACACAAUUCAACCCCCGAACAGCACCAGUUCAGACUAUUUCACGCUAGAUCCACGCAAAAUUUCAGCCCACACCCAGAAUUAAUCGCCAAAAUCAGCAAAAACAUCGGCCGGCGUGUCACCUGCUGGUGCAGGCCGUAGAGGAGGAGGGCGACGUCGUUCUGGAAGCGGGAGAUAGCUGCGGAGGAGGUGGCCCCGCCGGCGCCGAACCCGGCAUAGGCUGCGGCGGCGUAGAAGCGGUCGGGGUAGGCGAGUCCGGAGCUCGCCAUAGCCGGCGCCGCGCCCUAGAUCUCCCCCCGGAUCUCGCGCGGGCACCGAACCACCGGCGCGAGACGGCGGUUAGGGUUUACUCCUCCGAAUCCCACCUCCUCUUCGUCGUCGUCGUGUGGAAAUGGAAAUCUGCAGGGGUGAACUCGCGCCGAGAUCUGGAGGGAGACGGCGAGCCGACGCUGGCGCCGUUCGCGGGCGACGCUUUUAACGCUCCCCGCCGAGGUGGCCGUAGAAUGGAAGGGAGAUGCUGACGGGAGCGGCCACGUGUCCUUGACAGGUGGGUCUAGUGACGCGGUAAUGGAGUCGUGUCUCCACGGGGUCGUGGUCGUUUCGUUGGGGCUGUGGGUGUUUCCGUCCUCCUGCUCUGACUUCUCCGUUUCGCCCGAUCCCCUCCCCCACCUGCCAGCCCCCCGCCGGUCACCGCUCGCCGCCGCCGCCGCCGCCGCCGCCGCCGCCGCCGCCCACGGCAGCCAUCCAGCCGCCGGAACCCAUCCUUCCGUUUGGUGCUGGGUUCAGUUCCUGUGUCGAAACGAGUCGCGCAGAGCCGCAGACUGGGAGCUGGGGCGAGGAGACGAGGGAGGGAUGCAGCAGCUGCAGCCGAAGCAGAUGCACUGGGUUAGGGCCGACUCCUCCGACUUCGGGGGCGACCGCCCCGCCCCCCGCAGGUAUCCAGCUCACCCUCGUCGCCGCCGUCUUGAUUUUAAGUCCCAACCUACCCGCCUAACAACAACCACACGGGUUCUGCGAUCUCGUGCAGCGGGCACACGGCGGUGAGCAUCGGCAAGUCCAAGGUGGUCGUCUUCGGCGGAUUCGCCGACAAGCGCUUCCUCUCUGACGUCUCCGUCUACGACGUCGGUAAUCAAGUCUCACUCCAAUUUACUUGCCGAGCUAAUUUGCCUCCCUCACAGCAGAGCACAUCUGCACACGCCGCAGCUCAAAAUAUAAGGGUUAUCAGAUUGAGAAACGUAGAUUGCAUUUGGAUGAUUGGAUUGUUAUUUAAGGAGCAUAUGCAUUAGGAGUGAAGGACCAAGAUGUUUUCCUAAAAACUUCUGAAUGCAACUUAUAUCGCAGAGAAUAAGCUAUGGUACACACCUGAGUGCACAAUUAAUGGAUCCGAUGGGCAGGCAGGCCCAAGCCCUAGGGCAUUUCAUGUAGCUGUCGUCAUUGACUGCAAUAUGUUCAUCUUUGGUGGCCGUUCUGGAGGCAAGCGGUACGCAAUCCAGCAUAAUUUGGAAGCUUAGCAGAAAUAAUUUCCUUUAUUGUUACUUACAAUGUGGUGCCUGUUGCACAGAUUAGGUGAUUUCUGGAUGCUAGACACCGGUAAGCCUCUAUGUUUCAUCAAAUUGCUAGCAUCCCCUUUUAUUUGUUUUGUUUGCACUUCCUCUGGGGUUUCUGCAACCAUUAAGUGCAUCAUGCUGCUGCAUUACAUUCAGACCUAUGGCAGUGGUCGGAGAUGACUGGCUUUGGUGAUUUGCCAUCACCACGGGAGUUUGCUGCUGCUUCGGCCAUAGGAAAUAGAAAAAUUGUUAUGUAAGCAUCAUUUGAUACACACACCCCCGUCAUACUUUCUAUAUCAUCACUUGUGACGACCAUUAUAUCUUUAUUCAGGUAUGGUGGUUGGGAUGGCAAAAAAUGGCUUUCAGAUGUAUACAUCAUGGACACAAGUAGGCAAACUACUUCUUUAUCCAAUCUGUAGUGGACACUGAAUUUCUCUUCAAGAUGGCAACAAAAAUGUAGUUUGUUUAUUUCUUGCAUUCUCUGUUGUAUAGUGUCACUGGAGUGGACAGAAUUAGCAGUUACCGGAUCCGUGCCGCCUCCAAGAUGUGGGCAUUCUGCAACCAUGAUUGAGAAGAGACUGCUUAUAUUUGGAGGCAGAGGUGAUUGUUAUUUCUUGAUCUCAUUUCUGGGUUCCUUAAACAUCAUGGUUUAUGAUUCAUUGUUUAUUUCUUAAGCUGCAACAAACUAAUGUGUUUCUCAUUCCUUCCCACGUCGAAAAUGUGAAACUGAAUUUGUUGAUCAUUUUAAAUUUCUUCUAAAUAUAUCAGCACUAGGUUUUCAUGCGGAUUGUCUUGUGGAAAGGAUACUAUUUUCCUUAUGAGAAUUUCUAAUGAUUAAUUAGUUAAUUCAUAAACUAUUGGUUCUCAACAGCCUGUUUCCAAUUACUGCAUAUCUUCUUUGCCACAGGUGGAGCAGGGCUGAUAAUGGGUGAUUUAUGGGCUUUAAAGGGUGUUACUGAAGAAGGUAUCUCCUUAUAUUUUUGUAAAUCUGUUUGAAUAAAAGAAAGACUGCUAUGUAUAAUAUAUGCUAGCUCAGUUGAUGAUGACGCCAGCAGAACUAACAGUGCACCUGGAAUUAAGCCAGUGUAAAUGGUUGUGGGCAUGCCUUUUUUUAAGUAUUAUAUUACGUCAGGACAAAAAUUAGGGUACAUAUCCUGAUAUCUUGCUUGCCCUGUGUGAUGACUCUUGCUUUAUUGGAAGUCAUGAAAUUUAAGAUGCCCCCUUUAUUUGAUAGGUGUUAAGUGGUAGCUGACAAAUAUUAUUGUCAUUGUUUCUCCUGUUAAAUUAUCUAGGCUGUCAUUCAUUUGUAUGUUAGCAUCACAUUGCACUGCUCAGUUGAUGUAACCAGUUAUUAUGAACCUGAUUUUAUCUAUUUUGGAAGACAAUGAGACACCAGGUUGGACACAAUUGAAGCUUCCAGGGCAAUCUCCCUCACCACGAUGCGGCCAUUCAGUAACAUCUGGUGGACCUUAUGUAUGUAAUUUGAUUUCAUCAUACAUUCAUACUUCCUUUCUGAGUUUUCCGUCUUUCUGGGUGCAUUAGUAUGGCAUACAUGGAAGGUUGGGCCCUGUUGAAUGUCCGUGCUGGAUAUUAAUUAAUUAUCAUUACUACAUUGCAUAAAGCAAAUGUACCAUUGGCGCACAUUUAAAACUCCUUUGAUGCAUUCUGAUCUAUAGAACAGUAGGCACUUUGUUUUUCAGUGCCAACCCUCUUUUCAGUGAGGCCAUGGGUUUCCUGAUAUGGUUAAUACAAUAACUUAGGCUUAUGGGUAUUCCUUUGGCAGCUAUGUAAACAGAUAUAUGGAUUAUGUGGAUUUUCGUCUUUGGUUUUAAGAUCUUAGUCAUAUCAGCAUGUGCAACACAUUAUUUAUCAAAUUAGGUUGGCGAUUGGAGCACAUUUUUAGUACAGCCUUGUUUCCUUGUUAUUAACUUCAUACAUGAAAGAGUCUAAUCAUCUAUUGGAAAUUGCCCUUGUUCUUUGCUGGGAGCCUUUGCAACCUCAAGUUGUGCAUCAUCCAGGUCCAGACUCUCUAGAUUAUAUAAUCAUAAGCUGGAAUUUGAUGGGUUUCUUCUCACAUUUUCCCAUGCAAGGGUUUCAAUUGCACAAUCACAUAACUGAAGAUGUAUAGAUCUUUCUUGUCAGCUCUUGCUAUUUGGAGGACAUGGAACUGGCGGUUGGCUAAGUAGAUAUGAUGUGUACUACAAUGAAUGCAUUAUUUUAGACAGGGGUAAGAUGUGAUUGUAAUUUCUUUUUUUGCUUGCAAUAGGGACUAUUAAACUGCAAAUUGUCUGUUGAGUGCCAAGGUUUUUAUUUCUUGAUUCCAAAAUGUAUUUUCCAGUAACUAAACAUAAGAUUUUGUUGCAUAGGUAAACUUGUAGGUUAUUGUGAAUAUACAGAAAAAAAUAUAGACAGCUAGGAUCAUGUCCAUGAUCCAUUGCUUUGUCUCUAUUGCUGACCCACCUUACAUGGCACUUUCUCAGUCAGCACGUGCGCAUGAUGUAUCCAGUCUGUGUGCUAGAAAUGUGGCAUGCUUGUACACCACUGUUUGUUAAGGUGCAGUUAUCCAAUUAGGUAAAACCUCCUAUGUAUCAGCUCAAAAGUAUCGGCCUAUUUUUUAGUAGAAUGGGCACACUAGCUAGCUGACUAAUAAACUGCUUGACUACAAUAAUCUUUUUCUUUGAUUCUUUUUCCCCUUGUAUUUUCUUUUCGAGGGAUCAGCAGUUAACCAGAAUUUCAUAUUACAUAUUCAUUGUUGGAUAAUACUUAGAUCCUUCACAGUCUCUGUUCAAUGGAAGCGCCUACCAACAAGCAAUGAACCGCCUCCUCCUCGGGCUUAUCACUCCAUGACUUCCAUAGGGUCUCAAUUUCUUUUAUUUGGUGGCUUUGAUGGAAAGAACACGUUUGGCGAUCUGUGGUGGCUUGUUCCUGAAGGUAUUGUUAUCUCAUGCUUGCCUGAAAAAGAACAAAUCACUCCUAUAUCAGCAUAUUGAUCUCUUGAGGGUUGUGUAUGAUGUACUGGGGUAUAAAACUCCGCACAUAAAUUCUUCAAUUCAUAUUGCUCCAGUCAUAGCCUUUAGUACUGACAAGUUGACUUGAAAUAUCAUAACAAAAAAUAACUCACUAAGUUGAUGCUAAACUGGAUUUAUAUUAGGAAACUUUACUGCUCAUGAUGCAGAUACAUUUACCAAAUUGUCUGAAAUGAUUUGAAGCUUUCCCCGAUGCUCUUGAUUGUUACUCUAUGAUGGUUGAUGGAGAGAGGUAAUCUAAAUUCCACAUUUUUGUGUGCAGAUGAUCCUAUUGCGAAACGAGGUUUAGCUCCUAACAUUGAUUCAAAUAGCAGACCUAGCACUACGACUGGUGAUGCCCAGCAACCCAACUUAAAGGUACAUGCUUGCAUGUGUGGGAGUUCAUUGUGAAAGUUUCAGGUGACAGAAAAGUCUGCAAUUGCUAAAAUAUCUGAUGGUCGCAGGAGUCACAAGCUGUGGUAUCUCCAAUAAUAGAAUUGGCCAAAAGACUGGGAAUUCCGCUUUCUGAGGAAGUUUCAAUAAGUUCUGUUGAUGAAAUGGAUGAUAAAGAACUUGUGGAAUUGUCCUCUAGGCUUGCUGGUCAAUCGCUUCCAGCUAGUGACCAGGUGGCAUCAAUUCAGGUACUUGUGGCUCGCUUUUACUGUAACUUUACUGUAUCUGCAUCUGAGAGGAUUUUGGCUUUUUUGUGUGAUACCUAGGUACUUCGUGAUCAUUGGAAAAGUUCUCCAGCAAGCUCACUACAACUGCAGGAGCUAGGACCUUUGCUGAGGGACUAUCAACGUCUCAUCCUCCGGCGCUAUUCGUAUGGUUUCACUCUUCGGUCUCCCCUCUAUGUCUGUUAUUUGCUUAUUUAAGCAUUCACUUUUUCAUGAAAUAGAAGCUGUCUGGUAGAAACUGACAUGACUUUGUAACAUAGGCUCUGUUCUGGACCAUGAACUAUUUUUUUAUUGUCACGUGAAUAACCUGAACUGCUAGAAAUGAACACCCAUUUGGUAUUUUGGGCGGAUAGUAGUAACUGUGAAUUUUACACAUUUAUCAUGGAUUUAUGCUGCAUUUCCAUGCCAUCUGGCCUGUUUGAUGUCGAUAGGCCCAAAGCUGUCAGGUUCUAGUUGGUUGUUAGUGGAAAAUGUCAUUAUCAGAGCUUGUUAUGCCUGAAAAUGAUAAUUCUUCGUUGAUGUUCAAUUAAAGCAAAAUAUAUUUCAGCAAUAUUUUUUCCUGAUCAUGAUUUCAAUUUGUUGCUGCAACUACAGGGGAAAUCAAUCAGCAGCAUUUCAUGAAAUGGAAGCUCUCCGUUUCUUCCAUUUGAAAAGUGCUUCACAGGUAUGCAUAGAAGUUCAUACGAUCCAGUAAUCCACCACAAACGAUCACCUGCCAUCAAUUGAGAAUACUGCAUUCAAUACACCCUGCUUAUUUAUCACUAUUUUUUUUUAUGUCUGGUAUACCACAGUUGCGCAUGGAUGACAUUCCCAUCUUGUUGCGCGAGUAUGGAAGGCUGCUUUCAACAUGAGAUGUCAUCUUACCUUUUUGCUUUGUAGGUGCUUUUGAACAUAUCGUUGUGUUAGGUCGCCAUUUUCUGAUUGUAGUACUGAAUUCUUUUAGCUUUUGGCCUCAUAUAAUCAUCUUUGCUUCAGGUUCGAACUGAACAUUUGAAACUUCCGAAGAAGGCAAUGUAAAUCUUGCUGCAUAUGUGCCAUCUUACUCGACUUUUGGGUAGCAUGAUGGCUGAGGUACCAAUUCUCACCCAAUGAUAGGUCAAAGAACAUUCACAGAACUGUGCAUCAUGGACAUGUUUGUAGGACGUACGAUUUAUGAAUGACAAACUGAAGCAGCAACUCCUGUGACUGCGAUCGACAUGUUUGGCCAUUCUGCUCCUCAUCUGACCAAAAGGGCAUUCCAUUGCAUAUUUGCAUGUGCACCGGAGAUCGACCGCACACAGGCCGCUACUGUUUAAGACUUAAAGUGUAGCCGGUCCCGGUCGUACGUUCAAACGCAUGUGUUGCUUGCCGUUCGUCCAUGCGAGUACAGAAAAAGGUGGAAAACGCAGCCUGGAGCUUUCCAACGAUGCCACUGAACUUCAUAGAAGAACAGCUCAAUUCAUGCAAGGGUCCGUGAAACAUUUACUGUGGCACGGUUACUUACUGUUGUCGAGACGGUAGUGAAAUUCUUGGGUUGAACUUGGCUGGCCGGACCACGGCGGGAUGGUCUGCCAGGCCCAAGCAAUCCGAGCCCAGGCCCAAAUGGGGUACGGGCAGUUCCAGAAGCUUCCACGGAUGGGAUCGUGAGACGAAACAGGAAACCACCAACCCCACCCGGCAGCGGCGGGCGCACCCGGGAUUCCCAUUCCACCGCGCCGCAGACCCGCAGUGCGCAGCGCAGCGCAGCCACCCCGCGCCCCCAGACUCUCUCGAUCGCUUGACGCACAGGAUUCUAAGGGUGAACAGCCGGCGGUAUGACUCCUGGCCCUUGGACGAAGCAGGCACCAUGGCAGGAGCAGGACUGCAGGAGGAACGAGGCAGCUGAUGGAUUUACCCCUCGUCUCAUCCGAAUAUCUGAUACCUCAUCCUCUACCGUAGCAUAUGACAUGGCAGGACAUUUGUUGCUCCCUUUUGCACAUGAGGACGGCGAGGUCGUUGGGGAUCGUGGAGUCGAUGGGCAGCAGAUAGAAAACUUCCUUUCUAAACUGUUGCUUUGAUGGCAGCUCAAAUUCAUCAUCGCUACGUUACAGAAUUGCAGGUUUUAAAUCAUCCUUACGUAUUCUAGAUAAACAAAUACAUUGUACAUUAUUCAAAGCAUCCACCAUUGACGAUUGAUCUUGUCAAUACAAAAUCUCUCUGCAUCUACAUUCUACAAUUUGAUCUCUACAAUAAUUUCGUGUUGCAAUGACAUUCUUCACCGAAACUCAUUCAGUUCUGAAGUUCAUUCAGUUCUACAAUGGCAUUCUAGCCUUUCCAAGCUCAUUAAUUCUGAAGCUCGUUCAGUUCAAGUUCUGCAAUGGCAUUCUAGGUUGUCGAUGUUAGCAAGGUGCUUUUAUGCAACAGCAAACAAGGAACAGUUAUAAUCGGCAUAUUCAUACGUUUUCUUUAAUGCAAAUAUGACCUGCUCAGUGCUGACCAUAAUGAUAUUGCCCUGACUAGCCAUUCCCUUCUCUAGGUGGUAAAUUACAACAUUCCUGACGCGAACAUCUCAUUAAUCAUUAUCUUGAGAAAGAUUAGUGCCACAAAACCUGCAAAAUUUGAAUGAAUGAAACAUAAAGCAAACGAUUGAUACAAAUACAACAAGAGUCAUCUUCCUUAGAUUGCCUGAGCUGCAAUCGACGCGAUGAGCCCUCGGCAAAAACUUGAGUGCCUCCUACGACGAGUCGAGGUGCCAGUACCAUCAGCACCCCACGAUGAGAGUGCUGCAGGCAACGACAUCGCUGGGGAGCCGGAGCCCUCAGGGUUGCGGCCCUAGCGGCAGAGGUUUAGGGUCAGGUGCCUCCUAUCGGGAGGGGAGCGCUUGACGAGGUGCGCAGGCCCGGCGCGCAAUGGCGACGGGGGCUUUGGACUGGGGACCUGGGAAAGGAGGAGACAGGCGGAGGAAGAGGAACGAAUAGAUGUGAGUGGCUGCGCCGAGCAAGCCUGAGCCGACGCGAGCGCAAGAAAACCAACCUCCUGAGCCGAGUGGUGCCUCUCCCACGUUCUCCCGUCGGAUCCCGCGAAGCGCCACGCGGCAAAAAUCAGGGACAGGGCUGCACAGGCCGCACUUUGCAGCCGUCCAGAUGCCUUCCUUUUCAGCAUCUUGUUGGCAAAUUAAGGUGACAGUUACAUCAAAGACCACAAAAGAGGUAGGAACAGUGAAGAAGUAUCUAAUCUUAUGAGAUAAUUUACAUCUUUAGUUUUAUAAUUGUUGCGGGUCCCCUUUGUUGCUUUUAUGAUGGCACCAAUACAUUUCAUGUUAUUGAGGCACUGUUGCUGAAGAAAAUGAAUUUCUCUAUGCUUCAGUCUUUUGUUUGUGAAUCACUUGCUAGUGUGAAGAGGAUCUCAGGCCUGUAGACUGACUAGAAACAACCCAGUGUAAAAAAAACAUUUUGGUAUGAUUUGUCAUUUUCUUGUAAUUCUUUAUGUUGGAAAAGAAGUAUUGCUAGUAUGUAUGUCUAUCUCAACUCAUUAUGCAUUAUUCUGGAACGGCAUGCUCUUUCCUUUUACUAAAGUCUAGUACAAGUAUACCAUGGCAUUCAGUCUCUAUCACAGAAUUACAUUUGCAUUUGACAAAAAUUACCUUUGUGUUAUGCGGAUGUCAUCAAUCAUUCGAUGAAUCUUUAUUUAAAGUACGCUGACAUAACUAGAAGUAGCCUUCUUUUGUUCCUCCUACAUUUUUUGUUUGACUAAUAACUUUUACUUGUAUCACUUUGGCUUGUCUAUCCUAUCAGUAGGUGAGUUCAAGUUUUCUUAGUUUACAGGAAUAUCUCCAGUUUCAUGCAUGGUGCUCAAUGCCUAUAUUUUCCUUUAUGUCAUUGUUGACAUCUGAUUUAUUGAGUACUCAUUUCUUUAUUACGAUUGUAGAGAUAUCCAAGCAAGCAGUGUCCUUCUUGAUGAUAAAUACGAAGUGCGACUUGGGAGUAUGAGUGACAUGCGCCCAGCAAAGUGCGGGAAGCCAGAAUGUCUUCUCUCGGAUAUUGAGAUCGUCAAAGUAAGAUUACUACCUUUCACCUUUCUUUCCUUUUCAUGUAGCACACAAGAGAACAAUAUGCUCAUUAAAUGGCUGAUUUUAUGUUUUUUAGUUUGUUUUGAUUUUUAUUGGUGUUAGUAUGUAGGCAGUGUUGAUUUGGGUACUGAAAUGCACUCAUAAAAGGCAUAGUAAAAUAAACAUCACCUUUAUUCUUACAUAUAGGUUAGUUUACUUAAGUUGUCUUUGCAGGCUCCGUUGAAUGUAUUGUGGUUGAGAUGUCUGCCCAAUACGUGAUGUUACCAUCGCUAGUUGAGUGGGAGUAGUUAAAUGAUACAUCAACAUGUUGUUGGUGAUAUUGCGCUGAAUUUCAGAUAACCUAAGGAAUCUGUUUUUCAGGCAUGUAUUGGUUUAUUGUUGGUGACUGGUAGUUGGUAGUUCACUGUCUUGUGCUGCUACUGUCUGUAGUUGAGCAAACUCCAACCUUGUGUGUGCCUGAGACCAUUUGUGUUUUCCUCUGAAGUUGGUAACUGAUCUUUGGUAUCUGACGCUUUGUUGUGGCAGGUCUCUCGACAAGCAGACAUCAGGUUCGUAAAUGUUCCACAUCUGCUGCUCCUUUUUGUAAUCCAUGUUCAUAUGACAAACUCUGGAAAAUUUGUCAACGAAAAACUCCUAAAAAAAAUUCUCCUCUACCUUGCAUGACAGGUCCACCGGCCACUUGCUCCUACGACGUCCUCUGCUUCGGCAAGGUGCUGCUGGAGCUGGUGACCGGCAACUUCGGCAUCAGCGGGUCGAACGACGGCACCUCGGAGGAAUGGCUGGUGAACACUCUUAACCAGAUCAACGGCGGCGGCAAGGCGAGCGUCACGAGCAUCAUCGACCCCUUGCUCCUCGUCGACGAGGACCACCAGGAGGAGGUGUGGGCGGCGGCGAUCAUCGCCAAGGCCUGCCUGAGCGCCAAGCCCUCGCGGCGGCCGUCGGCGCGGCACGUGCUCCGCUCCCUGGAGAGCCCGCUGCGGGUGGUGCGGCAGGGCUCGUCGUCCCGGUCGGACUCGGCCCGGCUGCGGAGUUCGUCUUCGAGGAGCUCGUGGCAGCCCGUGUUCUUACAGGGGAACAACCACCGGGUGCAGAGCCUGGACCGGCGGCACUCGGUGAGGUCUCACGGGAGCGGCGGGGAGGCGUCGUUCUCGUUCUCGUUCAAGAGGGCCGUGCGGCGGCGCCGGAGCCGGUGGCGGCGGCGCUCGACGAGGAAGCCGUUGUUGUGGAGCGUUACUGGUAGCGAGUAGGACGCCAUUUCUUGGGUUCUUUCUUACAGGCAUUCCUGAUUCUUUCCUUACGUGAUGUCAGUCACAUCGCAUCGUGUGUAUAAUUUGUUGUUGUUGUCUGAUGCGUUGAUCCGGUGUUCCAACAUGACAAGAAAAGAAAAAACUGUGCAUGAAUUCAUGUUUUCAAAUAUUUUGAGUGAAUUUUAAACUUCUUUUUAGGAUUUCUCCUCCAGAGUCCUCAGCUUCUUCUGCGUGCAGAUGGCAAUUAAAAACGAAAAGGUGAUAUGUAAAUAGGCCGCCGCGGGCGCACAGAUGGCUCUCCGGCCCAGCCUAGCCCAACCAAAUUAAAGGCAUUGAUCCAUCACUAUAUGGUACACGUGGCCCAAUAGGGUAAACAAGACGAGAGGCGGAAGCAGCGGCGGCAUGGCGUCGCGAUUCCUCCUCAGCGCUGGCGCCCUGUCGGCGCGCGGCCACCGCCUCCUCGCCGGCCAGAUCGUGGGCACGCCGCCGUUGGCUGCCGCUGCAAGCGUCGCACUCGCCGGUCAGGUCUGCUGUCCGUUCCCAACCGUCACCUCCUCGCCGGUCAGGUCUGCUGUCCGUUCCCAACCGCUUCUUUUGCAUGCUUCCGCUCACCUCCUCUGCCCAUUCCUGCAUGACGCAAUGCAGACGUUUCUGACCCCGAGCAUCAGUUGUAGUUGUACCUCUAGCCCACUGGAAUUUGGGCCGCACAAAUGACAAGUCUAAAAUUUGAUCUGAGUUGCAUUUGUUCUCCGCUCCACGAAAGCAGAACUAAACUGGAGUACUUGUUCUCUGUUCUCCACUGCAAUUUUUACAUUGUUGCGCGCCAAAGGGCCAACCGAGCAGAGCAGCAUGAAUCACCCAACAAAAUCACGAGUCCAAAGCAUCAGGUAGAGCACUACAAUAGAAACCCAUGCGAAAUUUCAUGGCCGUCAGGCGUCAGGCAUUAGCUAUUUAGCAUGCGUUUCUUCCUCUUUUUUCCUAGAAGAUUACACAAUACAGAGUAAAUUGUGUCCGUCUCCUGAUCUAUUGACACCUUGCAGAGAAUUUGUGACGUGUCAGGCCUGAAUGGCUGAAUCAAUCGUAAACACGAUCUAGAGGGAGUCAGCUUAUAGCUUUUUGCAAGCUGAGUGGUUGGAGACAAGGGCCUCAAACUAAUUCAAAAGUGAAGUUCAUGGCCUGGAAAAAGAGUCUCUUCCCUACAAAAUACAAGUUCUACAAGACAAACUCGAUUAUUUCUGCAAAUAAACUAAGAAAUUAUGUAAAAUAAAAUUUUGGUCUCCAUAGAUAAGAAUGAAUUUCACUACUAUUCGUUUUGACUCGGAAACUAUUUUUCUUUUUAGGAAUGAAAAAGGAAAAGGAAAUAGAAAAAAAUAGUUUGGUCGACCAAAUAUGUUGGUCACACGAGCCCACUAGGCUGGACGGCCCACGAACCACGUUGUCCACAUGAGCCCAUCAAAGACCGAGAUGGUCUCUCUCCCCCGUCGAGUGGGUUCAUCGACUGCGCUUUAAGAGAAGGAAAUUCGAGGGCAGAAUAGGGAUGGCAACUGGCGCAGAAUACCCGCGUACCCGCGGGUAAAAACCUGAUAGGGUAAGGAUACGUGUACUAUUUUGUGCUCACAAGUGCGGCUGCGGGUUGAGUUUGUGCUCGCGGGCAUAAAAAUAUUUUACCCGUGCCCGCAAACCCGCAACCCGCCUGACAUGUGGACAUGCUAUACAUGUACAUAAUGGAUUUCCAAGGUUCCAUCCUUAUUCGCUCGGCCGCUCCCACAUCCCACAUCCCGCCCGCCGCCACCUCCACCUCUCCGCCCCCCGCCGCCCGCUCCGCACCUCUGCCUCCCGCCGCGAGGCUGCUCCCCUCUGCCGCCCCCGUCACCGCCGGCAUAGGUGUUCCCGCGGGUGACGGAAGCGGGUACAACUUUCUACCCAUGACAGGUGGCGGGUGCGAGCACGCGUACAGAGUUUGCCUCGCGGGCGUGGGCCCGGAAACCCUCUGCCCGCGGGUAACUGCCCGUUGCCAUCCACAGGGCAGAAGCACGAGAGGAAAAGUUCCCUUCCCCACCCACUCGUCGGAACCAACCAAACCCUAGCGGCGCGCGCGCGCACGCCUCCCACCCCACCCGCGCCGUCCUCCUCCGCCCAGAUCCGGCCGAUCGGUGCCAUGGCGCUGCGCUACCUGGCCAGGAAGGUCGGUAGCCCCGCUCUCCGGCGGGCUUCGGUCCCCCGCGUGUUGCCGUCGGCGGACGCACCUCGGCCUCUCACCUCCGGCCCUUAUCAGGUGCGCGUGCGCUCCCUCCCCGCCUUCCGCUCUGGGUCGGUCGAUUAUACCGGCCAUCCGCUCUGGAUCGGUCGAUUAUACCGGCCAUCAAAUCAUCAACCCGCGCGGUUAAUUGUACUAGGUCAAUCGCUGCUGAUCUAUCCUCCUUUUCGCAUGAGCGGCACCCUGUGUUUUUCUGAUGCGUGCGAAUUUCGCACACCGAUCAUUUGCCACCGUUUUGCUGCGAAGUGAAAUUGACCACAUCGAGAGCGCCCUGUGGUAGUUUUCAACAAGGGGACGAAUUGAAUCAACAGCUAUUGCCUCACACAUACCGUCCCCAAUAUGCAUGGUAGCUGAAAGCUGGCUUCUUGCUCCUCCAUUGGGCUCAGCUAUAUGCACGAGCUUGCUGAUGGAAACUGGUCGGUGCUUGUCAAGCUAAUAGUUUUAGAAACAAAGAUCAGAGCUGGUACAUUCCCUUUGAUUUUCGUUGUUUCCUUCAGAUAGUAACAACUAUAUGCUUGCCGAACUUAAUUCCACUUGCAGUCUAGGAGAGUCCGUCCAUCUUUGGUGCCGCAAAACUAACACAGCUAGCUCUGCAAAUGUUUGCUUCCUAGGAGUUUUUGAUUUGUUGCAAUUAGGUAGUACAAUACCCCAUGGUAGCUCUGCAAAAGUUUUUCAUUGUGUGACAAUGCAAAAAGGAGUUUAUCACUGAUGAUCAUGUUAACUAAUUGGCUUGAUGGUUGGUUUACCUUGCAGUAGUGUGGUUUGAGGAGAAUUAGUGCUUGGCCCAAAUCCUUGCACGCUUUUUUGAUGAUUGCACAUUCAUGUUACUGUUUAAGCAAAUCAAUCUUUGAUCAAAAUAGACAGCCUACAACCAACAACUCAGUUGAAUCCAUAGUGGCAUAGUCCCAUACUCAGUGUUAUGUGUGGCUGGUUGAAUGAACAACACCAAUUGGUUAAAAAUGCAGUCAUCUUACAUUUUGCAUAUCUCUAAUUGAGCAAUGGUAAAACAACUUUCCUUAGUCCAAUCAUAUCAGAUUGGACAAACAAAUUAAAUUAAGAUCUGUCCUUGCUCAAAACAGAUCAGAUUGAACAAAUCUAUCUCCUUUUUUUGGGUUUCCUUUUGGUUGUCACUCUACAUGGUACAUGUAGUUCAUCCUUUUUUUUAUAAUGCAUCUAUAAGAAGGCAAUGCUUUUACUGAGCUAAUUACAAAAUUUCCACACAGGGCCUUCGUCAUUAUGCAACACCAUCCAGUGAAGCAGUGGGCUCGGAAUUGGAUGCACCCAAGGUGAAGCGUAAUCGAUCAAGUAUCUCAAAGAAAAGCGGAACAGCCAUGAUGCUUCCACUCCAUCUCCAUUACGAAGAUGUACUUCGUCAGGAUCUGUUGCUCAAACAGAAUCAUGCCAAUAUCAUGCAAGUUCCUGGAUUGUAUGAGAUCAGAUUAGUACCAAAAGCAGGUUCUGAUUUGAGGGUCCCAAUCGGAAAAUUGGCAAUGGAGAUUUUGAGCGGCCAGAGAUUCAAAGAGGCACAAGUUGACCCUUUUGCUAAAGCAAGAAAGUCUGCUCGAACCAAUCCAUUCAUUGGGGCUGGCAAAGACAGUGGCAGCGUCUUUGCACGACAGAGUGUUCUCCGAGGGCAUGCAAUGUACAAUUUCUUGGUCAGAAUGUUGACAGUGAUGUCAAUGCUUGAUUCUCGGGCCGAAAUUCGGGAAAACACCAUAAAGUUCUUCAUGGAGACGGAGUUCUGUGAGUUCUCCCCGGAACUGGAAGACCACUUUGAGAUCUUUGAGCAUAUCCGAGGGUUCAACGUAACUAUUGUCACUUCAGCCGACACAAAAGAUGAGACCUCACUACUGUGGAGUGGCUUCAUGCUAAAUGAUGAGGGGGAAACCAAGUAAGGUAAUACCGUAAUAGUGCCUAUCUUUCUCUACGCUGUAAUAUCCCUGACAUUGUACUUUCUGCCCUGCUUGAACUGAACCUUCAGUUGACUGUUUGGCAGUGGCUGAAGGCAGUCGCUGAUGUCAAAAUGGUUCUGGAGUUUUGGUGGUUCUUGCUCAAGGAGUAGAAUGCAGCAUCCAUCAGUUUUGUAGACUGAGUGAAGCCUGCGUGAUUGUUAUUUCUUAUUUGUAGCGAUGUAUGGAGCUCAUGUUUGAUUACUAACAUCUAGUACUAUGGACUUAAUAAUCUAGGCUCGAAAAGUGUCUUUCGCUUAUUUCUGUGGUUCCUGAUGUGGCAGUUAUAUAGAAUGCUCGUUUCUGUUUGUCAAAACCAUUGCAAGAGAGGGAAAUGAAACGGAGCUCAUCUUUACUACAUGUAGUACUGUGAACUUAUUAUUGGUUCAAGUUCCAUUUUGCUUGUCUCUGGCUCCUGUCCUGUAACAUGGAAAACCUGGUUGUUUCUCGAAAAUCACUGUAAUAGGGCACAUUUCCUUGUCUUACAGAUCUUUUUUUUUAAAAAAAACUGAUGUCACAUCGCAUAUCUUUUUGUUAAUUUGUUUGAUCCGCUUAUGGUCCGGUGUUCCAACCUGAGAGCAGGGUUUACAAAACCGUAGUAAACCGCUCGAAACCACGGUUUUCGGCUGGACCGCUUCGAUCCGGCAGCUGUUCGGCUGCACCGUAAAUCGCUCGAAUUCAAAAAAUUCAAAUUUGAAAUUUUUGAAUUCGGACGGUUUAUUGUGUGGUUUUUACCGCUGAGUGGUUUUUACCGGUUACUGAGCGGUUUGAAUUCAGACGGUUUACUGUUCGGUUUUUACCGGUUACCGAGCGAUUUUUUCCGGUCACCGACCGGUUUUCAGUAAAAACUGUUCUGUUUUUACCGUUACCGAGCGGUUUUUACCGGUUACCGAGCGGUUUUUAUGGUUACUGAUGGUUUUUAGUAAAAACCGAAACCGUCGAGGGUCGGUUUCGGUUUGGAAGGGAAUACCCUGCUGAGAGAAAUUAUGCAUGAAGAGAAUUUAUAACCUUUUCUUUUUAGCUAAAGGGAGAGCUGCAUAGGGGAUCCCGGGGUCAACCCCUGCUAGGGAGCACGAAACAGAGCUCGGGUCUGCUCCCAUGGCCAAGGAGCUAGAUUUUGAUAGGAAUUUGGACGUUGAGCACUCUUGGAAGAUGGUGGGAAAAUUAGAGAGAUAUGGUGGGCACCGAAGCAGGAAGACGUGCAAAAGUACACUGAUCCUGUUUGUUAGCCAUCACAAGGUGAGAGAGGUAUAAAGGAGGCAUAUAAUUAGAGUUUGCUCAUGGUUUUAUACCUAGAGGGUAUGUGGGUUUGUGUGGACGUUAAUAAUGGUAAAAAAAAUCACAUUCGGCCAAAUUUUGGAUCGGUUUGGUUUUAUUUUGAUCCUCACCAAAAUGGGUGAAUUUCACCGAAAUUCCGUUAUUUUGGAUUGAAUUGCAGAGCCUACUUUUAUGCAUUAAAUGAAGUGCAAUGGGAAAGCUACACCUUGAUUGCCAGAAUGGAUAAUUAUUGCCAAAAGACUUUCCAAGUAAAUGGUCGAGGUCCAUAAAUGUUAGAUGGGGAUCGUUCAGACUUGGGCAACAUUAGUCCAUCAGCAGUACUAGAAAUCAUCAUGUAGUACUAGAAAUCAUCAUGUACUAGUUACUUUAGAGUAGUUACUUUAGAGCAUCAGUAUGAACAAUAAUCUGACAUGUUUGACCCGGCCGAGUGAAGAGUUGUAUUUCAGCACGGGGUUUGUUAGGAUUUCGACUUCUAAUGGGCAAGACCUCCCCUCCUCCCUAUAAAUAUAAAGGGCCACGGCCGAUUGAGGACAUCCAAUCGAUCAAAAACAUUAUCAAUCUACUAUUUUGAUUUUUUACCUUUUCUAUUUGCCCUAGCUUUUCCAAUCCCCAUCUAAUGUUCUUCCUUCAUCUCUACGACGUUUGAGGACGUUCUAGGUGGCCUGCCGACCCUAAAACAACCUAAGGUGCGCCUGCCCUGACGGGUUCCUCCUGGACGAGCGUUCGUUGGUUUUUUUCACCGAGCUUGUCGGCGAAACCGGUCUAACUAGCCACCAACACCGGUCUGACCGCCCCGCGCAAAGGAACUGCAAGGAGCUCCUCCGCGUGCCGCAUGUUCGAGUGCGUUCGUGUAUUGGCUCGGUGGUUAUAAAUGUUAAUACUCUUCUGCAUAAAUUUGUCAAACUUAGAAGCAUUUGAUUUUGAAGUAUCCCUUGUAUUUGAGAGCGAGUGAGUAACUCUUUCUAUUAUUUAUUUUCAUUUUAUCCUUAUGCGUGUGAAUGCAUGCAUACAUAUGUGGAGACAUUGCCACCAACCGACUUUGCCAAAACGAGCUGCAUCAGUGGAUCAUCUAAGCUACUACUCCAGAACCAACAACACCACCACUGCCUAGGUAGGGAUGCGAGUAGAAGUACUGACUCUACUACCAUCAUAGGAUUGUAAUUGACUAUGGUGACAAAAAAAGAUAGUGAUUAGAAGAAACAACGGAGAUCACUAUAAUCCAUCAUGUGUGUGAGAGAGGCGUUUGAGCUAGCACGGCGAGUAACAAAUUUUUUUUCCAAACCAUCCAUACCUAUUGUUAGUUUGUUCAUCCAUGUUUCUAAAUCUAAAAUCUCAUCUACUUUAUCAAAUAUGGCCAGUUGUAGCUUACGGGACGUGCUAGAUGACGAGGGAACUUCCUUUUUUACAUCUUGCUCACCAUAAUUAUCUAAGCAAGAUGUAAAAAAGGAAGUUGGAAAUUAUGUUGGAUAGCUACUUUAAAUACUUGGGUGUUCCAAGACGUGCCAAUGAUUUUUUUUUUCAUAGCCUGUUUGAAAAUUUUAAAGUUUUGCAGCCUUAUUCAUUUAUGGGAAAAUCGUUCCCGCGGGUCGGCCAAACGGCCCAAACCAGGAGGGGAAAUGCGGAUAGGAGGAGCUCCACCUUCCACAGCACUCCCUACAAUGGCCGCCGCUCUCCCGCACUCCCACCUCCGCCUCCACCUCCCGCUCCGCACCCCCAACCCCUCCCGCCGCCGCCAUCGCCUCCGCCCCCCCUCCCUCGUCGCCGCUUCGCGCCUCCAGAACCCCACUAUCGCGACCCACCCGGUCCUCCCGCCCCCGGCUCCGGCCCCCUCCGCCGCACUCCUCGCAGCCGAGGGGGCCUCCCUCGCGCCGCGCCGGGAUCACCGCUUCCCGGGCUCCGUCUCCGCCCCAACGAGCUCCGCCGCCCCUAUUGGGCUCGCGGAGGCGGGGGAUGCCAUCCUGCGGCGCGCCCUCGAGGUGCGCCGCGCGGUGGCCGCCGAGGCGCUCGUGGCCGCGCUCAGCGGCGGGAAGGUCGGCGGCCUGACGUACGUCAAGAACCUCACAGCGCGGAUGGGGCCGUUCGUCGACCGCGUCGUCGUCGAGGCCGCCGCAAUGCGGCGGGACCGGCCCGACCUCGCGCACAUGUCCUUCAACGCGCGGGCGAAGGCGUACAUCCAGGAGUCCGGCCUUGUCGAGCUAGUCAAGUAAAGAUCCCAGCUUUGCAAUCCUUCAUCUGUUUCCUUUGUUUAUUUCUGUUCUGUUUGCACAAGAAUUGUGAUAAUUCGAAUACCAGAGGCAUUGCAAAUCAUAAAAAUGCAAGUUUGUAGUUUAUACACGUGAAAUUUUCCUAUUAUGAUUGCGAUGAUUACAAUUACAUACUUCAGGUGGUUCAAGCACAAUUCUAUGACAUAUCCCCAAAUUGCCAAAGUUGUUUGUGCGUGUUCUGGCGAUUUGGGGAAAGUAAGGAUGAUGAUAAAGUGGCUGAGGUCAAUUUAUGUAAAAGGAGAUUUUUUGGGGCGCGUCCUUGCAAACGGUGGAUCUUUUCUGAACCGAAGCUUUGAAGAGUUGGAAGAUAUUAUUGGCUAUCUGGAAAGCUGUGGCGUGAGGAGAGACUGGAUUGGUUAUGUGGUCAGUAGAUGUCCCCAGCUGCUGAAUCUGUCCAUGGAUGAGUUGGAGACACGAGUGAGGUUUUAUACAAAUAUGGGUAUGGAUGAUAAGGACUUUGGCACGAUGGUCUAUGAUUAUCCAAGAGCUCUUGGAUUUUUAAGCUUGGAAGAGAUGAACAGUAAGGUGUUUGCUUUACGUUUAGUUUUACUUCUGUGCUAUAUUCGUUGCACACUGCACAUUGGCAGGAUUAUUAGCCUCUUUUCUUUUAUGCAGUUCAUUUUCUGUUCCUUGUUAUGGAAAAAAGUAAAGAAUUGAUCUUCAGAAUGGUUGAAGCUCUAUUUAUUUCAGCUCACUAAUCACUAUGAAAAAAAAUAGGAUGAACAAAACUGAGUCGCAGUAUGUGUUUCCCCUGCUAAAAAAAUAGGAUCAAUGUGCUGACGAGUAAUAUGUGGUCAUAGGUCUAGAGUUCCAUAUGAAAUAAUCUAGCUAUCUACUUUGAAAGUGUGAAAUGCUAAGGAACACAUUGACUAACUUUCCUUGUACCUUUGGAAGGUUUUUGAUAAACUAAUUAGUUAGUUGAAUAUUAUAUUCAGUUCUUGACUUCUAUUUUUCUAGUUGGUAAUGAAAUAUCAUUCUGGUUCACAGGUUCAAUAUCUGAAAGAGUUUGGUUUGAGCACUGAAGAACUUGGGAGGCUACUGGCUUUCAAGCCACAACUCAUGGCCUGUAGCAUUGAAGAAAGGUGGAAGCCUCUUGUGAAGUAUCUGUAUCACCUAAAUGUUUCACGGGAUGGCAUGAAGCGAAUGCUGUUGGUCCAACCUACAAUAUUCUGUCUUGAUUUGGAGACAGUGAUAGCACCAAAGGUAACUUCUUAGUUGCUUUGAAAUAUAUUUGCAUCUUUUUAGCUGUUACACACUUCUUUUCUAAUUUUGGUGUUCACGAAAAAAUGUUAUAAUUUGUUAAGCUGCUCCAUAAAAAUAGUUUGAUUUUUCAGACUUGGUCUUCAAAGCUCCAAUAGGACUAAGUAUUUACUUAUUUCUGCAAAGUGUGCAACUGGGAUUUAGAGCUCAGAAUGUUCUGAAGUCAAUUAAUAUGACUCAUCUACCUCUAUGCAAAAUUCUGUUUCAGGUACAAUUUCUACUAGAUAUUGGUGUACGGAGUGAUGCAAUUGGCAAUGUGCUUGUGAAGUUCCCUCCUGUGUUAACUUAUAGCCUAUACAAGAAAAUACGCCCAGUGGUGCGUUCUUAUAUCUUGUUAUUAUUCUUUUCAGUUUUGAUAAUAUUGAUUCAUUUUGUUUGGAUUUUAUUACACCAGCUUUUACUAUACUUGGUUUCAAUAGGAAAUUAGUGUACAAAUUGUAGGAAUUUUAUUUCACUGACAGUUGGGACAGUACAGAUAGAACCAUAGUAAGUACUGAGUGUACAGUGAGUCAAAUCUCAGAAAGCUUCAUUCUAUCUAUAGCAUUAACUUCAUUUUUUUUCCCAUAUAAUUGGGACCUUUGAAUAACCCAACUAUUUGACUAUUCAGUGUGCAGUUACUUAAAUAAUUCUCCGUAUUGGUUCAUCAUGAUGAGCUAACACAUAAGCAGUCAAUUUGUGCAUAUACUAAUUGGUCAGAGUCCUUAGAGUGAUCUGUUCCUUCUGUUUGUUUCCCCUUUCUUUUCUCCUUUUCUUCUCCUCUGUACAGAACUUUUGUUUUUCAUAUUUAAUAAUAUUAUAUCCAGUAGGGGGCCUGCCCCUCCUGUUCUUUAAAAAAGAACUUUGUGCAACAUUAUUUCAGUCAAUCUAUUACAUAUAAAAGAUUUGAACCUAAUAUGCAUCUUUCAGCGAUGGUGCAAUGCUUGAAAUUGAACAUCUCAAGUUAACAUCAGUAAAUUUGGUAACUGUCCUAGUGCCUUGUUUGAAAACACGUGUUAUGGUGGAACAAGGGACAUAAUUUUUUCAAAGUAGAGUGUUUGUUUCCAGAUUUUUUACUUUUACAUAUUCCUUCUGCUACUAAAUCUCUCUUACACGUGUGCAAACCGUAGGUUAUUUUUCUGUUGACGAAAGGUGGAGUAAAACAGGAUGACAUUGGAAAGGUUAUUGCUCUGGAUCCACAGCUCUUGGGCUGUAGUAUUGCACACAAGCUAGAAGUUAGUGUCAAGUAUUUCCGGUCAUUGGGGAUCUACCACUUUGUGCUCGGUCAGAUGGUUGCCGACUUCCCAGCACUUCUUAGAUACAACGUGGAUAUCCUAAGACCAAAAUACCAGUACUUGAGGCGUGUAAUGGUGCGGCCACUGAAAGAUCUCAUCGAGUUUCCACGGUGAGUUGGAGUUCAUGUUUUCUUCUAAAACAAAGAUAUUGAUAGCCUAAUUGAUGCCUGUCCUUGUGAGUUGUAAUUGAUGCCUGUCCUUGUUGUGAGUUGUGACCCUCACCCCUUGUGCCUCUUUGCUGGAUGGUUGUCAGGUUCUUCAGUUACUCCCUGGAGGACAGGAUAGAGCCUCGGCACCAAACACUGGUGGCCAACAGGAUCAACAUGAAGCUGCGGUACAUGUUGACUGGAUCUGAUGAAGAAUUUGCAGAGAGGGUGCGGGAGGCCGUCGAGAGGAGAGCGAGAUUCGAAGCUGGAAAAGGUGUUGCAGAGACAAUUCCAGAUGCUCGAGAGACAUCUGAGGAGGAAGAAACUACAGAAGCAGCAGCAUGCUGAAACAGCGUGGAGGUAAAUUAGAUAGGUGUAGUACUUCUGAAAAAAAAAGAAAAGAAAA
RNAcentral lists this long non-coding RNA (39448 nucleotides) under Setaria viridis. Its description in RNAcentral is "long non-coding RNA (SVIR_LNC010057)". Lineage: Eukaryota; Viridiplantae; Streptophyta; Magnoliopsida; Poales; Poaceae. The record is from RNAcentral.